Long non-coding RNA from Oncorhynchus tshawytscha (Chinook salmon), 4935 nucleotides. NCBI's taxonomy places the organism in Eukaryota, Metazoa, Chordata, Actinopteri, Salmoniformes, Salmonidae. The record is from Ensembl.
CCUGAGUGAUAUCACCUCUAAUACAGCUAACCUGAGUGAUAUCACCUCUAAUACAGCUAACCUGAGUGAUAUCACCUCUAAUACAGCUAACCUGAGUGAUAUCACCUCUAAUACAGCUGACCUGAGUGAUAUCACCUCUAAUACAGCUGACCUGAGUGAUAUCACCUCUAAUACAGCUGACCUGAGGGCCAGUUUGUUGGUGCCGUCAUGCAACUACCUCUCAUUGUCAUGCCAAAUACAGGGAUCUGCCUAAAUCUAGGAAAACCCAAUAUACAGGGUGGGUUGCACCAACAUGGAGGAACUCUUAAGCCUUCAUUUAACCCAGUUUCAUCUUCAUCUUGUUGCACCAAACUUUAAAUCUAUUUUUAAAUGAAUCCUAGUUAAAAUGAAUCCUUCUUCUAAUCAUAAGUUUUAGUUUUCACUUUAAACCUAGAGUCAUUUUAAGCUUGAAUAUAAACUUAGAUUGGAGAUUCUGAACUGCCAUUUGAUGUGGUUGAACUGAUAAAAUGACAGGAUAUCGACUGUGGAGAGACCAGAACGACAGAGUUCCUCAGAGAACAUUACGAGACAGGUUGUAUCCUGUUGAGUUUUUUUUAUAAUGAUGAGUUUUCAAGGAGAUGCCGCUUCUCCAAGGAAUCUGUAAUGCAACUGGAAAGAAAGGUUGGACCAAGCGUGGGAACGACGGUAACGAGGAUGUACCCCUACUACUUCAGCUCCUGAUGACUCUACGGUUCUAUGUAACUGGAUGUUUCCAGAUGGUGGAUGGAUGUGGACCUUUCUGGACUCCACAAGUCAACCGUCUACAGGAUUGUAGUGUCCAGUGCUUUUGCCGGCCUGAAGAACGAGUACAUCAGGUUCAGUCCUACAGAGGAAACAGCAGCUGGAUUUUGAGAUGAAAGCUAGAUUCCCGUGUGUACUAUGGGCAAUAGACUGGACACACAUUCCUAUUCCGAACCCUGGUGGUGGGAAUGGAGAACUAUUCUGUAAUCAGAAAGGUUACUGCUCCGUCAACAUGCAGGCUGUCUGUGAUGUCAAAGGUCAGCUCACCAACAUCCUAGCAAGACGGCCAGGAUCCACCCAUGACAGCAGAUACUUUGACAAUAGUCGUCUGUGUGCAAUGCUGGAACGGGGAGCAUAUGAAGGCCCCCUACUACGUAACAAUGGAUAUUCUUGUCAUGGGAACCUUAUGACUCCCCUUUUAAACCCCCAGACACCUGAAGAGAGACAAUCCACCACCUCAUAUCCUGACAAGAGAUCUCAUAGAGAGAGAAUGCACCACCUCUCAUAUCCUGACAAGAGAUCUCAUAGAGAGAGAACACACCACCUCUCAUAUCCUGACAAUAGAUUUCAUAGAGAGAGAACACACCACCUCUCAUAUCCUGACAAGAGAUCUCAUAGAGUUUUUGUAGUAUGGAAGAAAAGAUUCCCUCCCCUACAGGUGGUGCUCUGCAUGAAGAUGGACACUACACUGACAAUCACUAUUGCAGUGGAAGUUCUGUAUAACUUUAGCAAGAGACAAGGAGACAAGCUACCUGAGGAGGCUGAGGAGGACCUACCUGAGGAGGAUGAGGAGAAUGGAGAAGAUGGCCAGGUGCAACAUGCUGUUGAUGUGAAUGCGAUGAGGAGAACUUUGAUUGAGAACCAUUUUUGCAGCCUAACAUGUGUGUGUAUAGUGUAACAUGUAAAAAGCAAUAUUAUAUUUUGACUGACGUGCAAUUCUUAAUAAGACUAUCUGUAUUAAAAUGCAUUAUUAAGUCAUUUGUUAUUCUCGAUCAUAAAGGGGGGAACUGGAAGCACCAGAACAUGAGUGGGGGCACCACAUUGCUAGGGAAAGCAUUGUUUUAAUAAAUAACAAGAUUAGCAUUCUUUCCACAUUUGUUCCCCUGAAGGCGUUUCUGUUUCUGAAUUCGCAGUAGCUCUUUUUUGUAAACUCAGAAUCUCAGUCUGCGGAAUAUUUUUCUCUCCCUCCUGCGCCAAAACAUCAAUAUGAGCUGUUUUAGUCUUGGGUUCUGGGGGCGUUCGAUUGGCCCGGCUAGUUCAAGAUCCAGGCAUUGCUGUUUCUCUACGACAACAGGGUGUCGGCUCAACUGAAGAGAAUCAACUCCUUAUUAGAACUUACCUUCCCAUUUUGUAAUUGAAUUAGAGCUUGUGAUACACCUUGGUAGAAUGAUGACGUUAUGCAACAUGCUGUAACGGGACUGAGAACAGUAACAUUCUAGUGAAAUACUAUUAGCGUUAGUUUCAGUGGUGGAAAAAGUCAUUUCACACUGUUGUAAAAGUAAUGAUAUCUUAAUAGAAAAUAACUCCAGUAAAAGUCAGCCAGUAAAAUACUACUUGAGUAAAAAGUCAAAAGUAUUUGGUUUUAAAUGUUCUUAAGUAUCAAAAGUAAAAGUAUGAAUUAUUUAAUGUUCCUUACAUUAAGAAAUCCAGAUGGCACGGUUUUAUUACAUACAUACAUUGACAGUUUGCCAGUGUCACACUCCAACACUCAGACAUCAUUUACAAAUGAAACAUUUGUGUUUAGUGAGUCUGCCAGAUCAGAUGCAGUGGGGAUGACCAGGGGAUGUUCUCUCGAUAAGUGCCCGAAUUGGACCAGGUUCCUGUCCUGCUAAGUAUUCAAGAAAAUGUAUGGAGUAAAAUGUUGUUUAAGUCUUUUCUUUAGGAAUGUAGUGAAGUAAAAAUAAAAGUUGUCCAAUAUAUAAAUAGUAAAGUACAGAUACCCAAAAAACUGACUUAAGUAGUACUUUAAUAUAUUUUAACUUAAGUACUUUACACCACUGGGUAGUUUUGACAUGCAUUGUAGUCAUUGAUGUUAACCAGUUAUUUAUGCUUACUAAAUAUUGGUGGGACUAGUUGUCCGUUGUCAUCAUAGGGUUAACUGUUCGGGUAUCAUCACAUAUGUCCUGAGAGAGAGACUGUGGUCUGAAAUAUCUUCCGCCUCUCAUCUGCUGCAUUAUUUUUGGCUUUCGCUUUGAAGUUUUUCCCAGCAGCCUUCAUCUGAUUUGUGUCCCUCUCCUCUUUCAUGUCAAUCAUUUAAAUAUGUCGCAUAAAACAGCCCAGGUGUCGUCUUUCAUCCUCCAGUACGUUACUAAAUUCCUCCAUCAGCUCAGUACGUUACUAAAACUAAGUUUACAUACACCUUAGCCAAAUACAUCUAAACUUAGUUUUUCACAAUUCCUGACAUUUAAUCCUAGUAAAAAUCACUUUAUUUUAAGAACAUGAAAUGUCAGAAUAAUAGUAGAGAGAAUGUGGGUCAGAAGUUUACAUACACUCAAUUAGUAUUUGGUAGCAUUGCCUUUAAAUUGUUUAACUUGGGUCAAACAUUUUGGUUAGCCUUCCACAAGCUUCCCACAAUAAAUUGGGUGAAUUUUGGCCCAUUCCUCCUGACAGAGCUGGUGUAACCGAGUCAAGUUUGCAAGGCCUCCUUGCUUGUACACUUUCAGCUCUGCCCACAAAUGUUCUAUAGGAUUGAGGUCAGGGCUUUGUGAUGGACACUCCACUCCAGGUCAGGGCUUUGUGAUGGACACUCCACUCCAGGUCAGGGCUUUGUGAUGGACACUCGACUCCAGGUCAAGGCUUUGUGAUGGACACUCCACUCCAGGUCAAGGCUUUGUGAUGGACACUCCACUCCAGGUCAGGGCUUUGUGAUGGACACUCCACUCCAGGUCAGGGCUUUGUGAUGGACACUCCAGGUCAGGGCUUUGUGAUUGGCACUCCACUCCAGAUCAGGGCUUUGUGGUGGACACUCCACACUCUGAUGCCUAUCAGAAGCUUUUAAAGCCAUGACAUCAUUUUCUGGAAUUUUCCAAGCUGUUUAAAGGCACAGUCAACUUAGUGUAUGUAAACUUCUGAUCCACUGGAAUUGUGAUACAGUGAAUUAUAAGUGAAAUAAUCUGUUUGGAAACAAUAGGACAAAUUACUUGUCAUGCACAAAGUAGAUGUCCUAACCGACUUACCAAAACUAUAGUUUGUUAAGAAGAAAUUUGUGGAGUGGUUGAAAAAUAAUUUUUAUUGACUCCAACCUGAGUGUAUGUAAACUUAUGACUUCAACUGUAUAUGCUGUGUAUAGAGCCCCACAUUGGAGGUGUGAUAAUACCCAUACAACCUAGCGGUGAAACAGAGAAAUGGUUCCAGUCUAUUUUCCACCAUUCAUUCUUCCCAUUGGGGAUAGUUAGAAACACUUAAAAUAAGGUCUGUGUUUCAUGUAGGCUUACCCUGGCGUGACAUUUUAUUAACCUGUAAAUCUCUCUUGGACAAGAUUACUUUUAUCAAUAUAUUUGGCUCUAUUUACUCUCAGAUUUGAAAACACUAAUUAGCAUCAAAGUAGAGAUCGUGAAAAACUACAAAUACAUGUUCCUGCACGUCAUCUCUAGCUGACACCAGGUACAUAACAGGUAUUAUGGAAAUUUCAAACUUGCACAAGACAGUUCACAGAAUUGCAGGAAAUAAACUUUAAAACAGAUGUUUUUUUCUCUCCAACGUCAGGAGGGGGGGGCACUAAAAUAUUUUGCAGUGAGGUAGUGGGGCCCCCAAAAGGCUACUGCCGGCCCUGGAGAUCUGGAUACAAUGCAGCUAGAUAAUAAACUAACGAAGCAGCUGGAAGAAAUACUGGUGGCUAUGACAGAAGCCAAACGUGAGUUGGCUUGGGGGUGUGGUUUGACGUCCUUGCCACCACCAAGACACACCCAUCUGUCAGAACCUUGCCUGCAGCUGUUUCCUCCCCACUCAUUCACAACAAACAAACCUCCUGUAGAUUCAGUUCAAUAACUACAGGCAGAUGUAUGGUGAGAUGCCAGAGGAAGCUUUGACUAGGUCAGUAGUCUACAGAGUAAUAUGAGAAGAAUGCAAUUGUUGAAUUUAUGUAGAUAUUCUAAACUAAGUGUUUUGAUAACUUUCAAUUGUAGUAACAGCUCCAUGUAGAAUAAACAAGCCUUU